GAUGAACGCUGGCGGCGUGCCUAAUACAUGCGAGUCGAGCGAUCAGACGAGGAGCUUGCUCCUCUGACGUUAGCGGCGGACGGGUGAGUAACACGUGGAUAACCUACCUAUAAGACUGGGAUAACUUCGGGAAACCGGAGCUAAUACCGGAUAAUAUAUUGAACCGCAUGGUUCAAUAGUGAAAGACGGUUUUGCUGUCACUUAUAGAUGGAUCCGCGCCGCAUUAGCUAGUUGGUAAGGUAACGGCUUACCAAGGCAACGAUGCGUAGCCGACCUGAGAGGGUGAUCGGCCACACUGGAACUGAGACACGGUCCAGACUCCUACGGGAGGCAGCAGUAGGGAAUCUUCCGCAAUGGGCGAAAGCCUGACGGAGCAACGCCGCGUGAGUGAUGAAGGUCUUCGGAUCGUAAAACUCUGUUAUUAGGGAAGAACAAAUGUGUAAGUAACUAUGCACGUCUUGACGGUACCUAAUCAGAAAGCCACGGCUAACUACGUG
This 497-nucleotide ribosomal RNA is filed under the name uncultured bacterium. RNAcentral describes it as "partial 16S ribosomal RNA". It matches the Rfam family "Bacterial small subunit ribosomal RNA", at positions 28 to 507 of the family's 1533-position model. The record is from RNAcentral.